AUGGCGGGGAAGAGGGAGAGGAUUGCGAUACGGAGGAUCGAGAAUCUGGCGGCGAGGCAGGUCACCUUCUCCAAGCGCCGGCGGGGCCUCUUCAAGAAGGCCGAGGAGCUCUCCAUCCUCUGCGACGCCGAGGUCGGCCUCGCCGUCUUCUCCGCCACCGGCAAGCUCUUCCAGUUCGCCAGCUCCAGCAUGAACCAGAUUAUUGACCGGUAUAACUCUCAUUCCAAGAUACUUAAGAAAGCAGACGAGCCAUCUCAGCUGGACUUGCAUGAGGACAGCAAUUGUGCAAGACUAAGCGACGAGCUUGCAGAAGCAAGCCUCUGGCUCCAGCAGAUGAGAGGAGAGGAGCUCCAGAGCCUGAACGUCCAGCAGCUUCAGGCCCUAGAGAAGAGCCUCGAGUCCGGGCUCGGCUCCGUUCUGAAAACCAAGAGCCAAAAGAUCAUGGACCAGAUCAGCGAGCUAGAAAAUAAGAGGGUGCAACUGAUAGAGGAAAACGCAAGGCUAAAGGAGCAAGCGUCCAAGAUGGAGAUGCAGGUCGCCGCUGAUUCACCGGUGGUGUACGAGGAAGGACAGUCGUCUGAGUCCGUCACGAACACGUCGUAUCCGCGCCCUCCCCUCGACACCGAGGACAGCUCCGAUACGUCUCUCAGGCUCGGAUUACCACUCUUCAACUCAAAGUGA
Molecule: ribosomal RNA, 681 nt
Filed under: Triticum aestivum (bread wheat)
Lineage: Eukaryota; Viridiplantae; Streptophyta; Magnoliopsida; Poales; Poaceae
Description: partial small subunit ribosomal RNA
Source: RNAcentral